AAUCAAAAAAGAAAAUUCAAAUACCUGGUCACCUUUUAAAAGUUUCAUUGAGCUAAAGGCAAAACAUUUGACAAGUUUUUGAUUUGCCUUUCUCAUGAUUUGAUGUCCCAGCAGAGCAACUGGGGAACCUAAUUCUGACCAACAAGGAGGAAUUGCCUGGCUAAUUGGAAGUGACAGAAACCUUGGGAGAAAGCAACCACAUACCAAGGAUAAUUAUAAGAAGGCUUUGGAGUGGAACACUAGUCGGAGAGCACAGAAGAGGCCUGAGAACAACUAUCCCCAUCAUUGAGGAAUUAUGGGAAACAAUAGAUCCUAGAACAUAAAACAUGGACAAAUGUCUGCCUUCAGGGUUAGAAGUGGAAAUUUAAAAUGUGGAAUUAUUUGCUUUUUGACUCAAUGAUAUUCCCUCCCAUUGGUGUACUAUUCAUUUGCCCAGGGAAGAGGGAAUUCCCAAAGAAGCAACUGAAACAAAGGAAUGGACUGAAUUUUCCAAAGAAGUGCUUAAAGUGAAGUCACAAGUCUUGAAAGCUGAGAUGAUGAUGGAAGAACAGUUCUCUUGGAUUUCUUCAAAGCUUCAAGACGUACAGCUUGAAAGAAGAAGGGAAAAAUUGUAUCCUUAAGCAAGAUGAAGUGAGUUGAAUGGGGGCAUGACAUCAAAGAUGUCCAUGUCUCAAAUCUGAGGAAACUGUGAAUGUUACCUUUUUUUGGGAAAACGGUCUUUUGCAGAUGUAAUUGAGUUAAAGAUCUUGAGACGUGGAGAUCAAUUGCCCUGGAUUAUCCACCAGAAUGUAAAUUCAGGGGCAAGUAUCCUUAUGGGACAGAGGAGAAAACACAGAAAAGAGGAGGCAGUAUGACCCCAGAGAUGGGAGUAAUGUGGCCACAUGUGAAGGAAUGGUGACAGCUAGCAGACGCUGGAAAAGGCAAAAAUGAGGUUUUAUCCUAGAUCCUUCAGAAGAAGUGCUGCCCUGCUAACAUCUUGACUUCAGACUUCUGGCCUCAGAACUCUAAAAUAAUAAAUUUCUGCUGUGUUAAGUCA
Molecule: long non-coding RNA, 1036 nt
Organism: Canis lupus familiaris (dog)
Lineage: Eukaryota; Metazoa; Chordata; Mammalia; Carnivora; Canidae
Exons: 2
Source: RefSeq, a predicted model, not a curated record